This 299-nucleotide unclassified non-coding RNA is filed under the name Funneliformis mosseae. RNAcentral's name for it is "partial contains 5.8S ribosomal RNA and internal transcribed spacer 2". The stretch from base 1 to 71 matches the Rfam family "5.8S ribosomal RNA", at positions 84 to 154 of the family's 154-position model. The record is from RNAcentral. Lineage: Eukaryota; Fungi; Glomeromycota; Glomeromycetes; Glomerales; Glomeraceae.
GUGAAUCAUCGAAUUUUUGAACGCAAAUUGCACUCCCUGGUAUUCCGGGGAGUAUGCCUGUUUGAGGGUCGUUAGAAGAAAAAUCGAAGCAUCGCUCUUUUUUUGAGGGUGAUCGCGUCGGAAUUGAGCCGUCUUUCAAAUGCUAAUUCAUGUCAAAGUGGAUUAAAAUUUAUCCAUCUGGUACGAUUAAAGCGUAUUUAAGAUCAAUUCUGAUUAAGACCGCGCGAUGACGUACCAUGUCAUGUAGUACGUUUGACCUGGGUCAUCAGGUUAAUUCGUAUACGUUACUCCAACUUUUU